GUGUGGUUCCAGUAACCACGGUGGCUGGAUGGGUGGUACUGGUUGGCCUCAUGGUGGAAGCAGAAGAGACCGUGUGUGGGCUGGCUGGCGUGCUGGGAGAGGUAGGUGCUACUGAGGUCGUCGUGAGGGUUGGAGAGACACUGGGAGGUAGGGUCUGGGGUUCAGAUGUGGUUGGAAAGGUGCUGGUGGUCGUGAGCGACGUUCCCGAGGUGGGUUCCGUUGUUUGUGGAGGGUGGGACACGGGCAGCGUGCGUGCGCUAUGGCUGGGUGAAUGGGUCUGCAGCGUGCUUGACGUGAUUUCCGUGUGUUGCAUUGUUGAUGCUGUCGCGGUGCCCCUGCUCUCCCUGGUAUGCUGUGUGGCCAGGGCGGUCUCUCCCAAAGUGUAUUGUUCUGUUGUCUGUGUGAGUGUGACCGGCCCUGUUCCUGGCAUUUUCUCUUGGGUGCUUGUCCCUGUGGGUGUAAAGGAGUGUCAUCAUGCAGUCUGUCUCUCCCUUUAGACCUCUGGUUUUUGCUCCCGUCUUGUUCCCUGUACCCCUUUCAGGCCAUCUGGGUUCCUUGAGCCAUUCAUAGGCGCUGUUACUCUGAACUUGAGGUUCCUCUUCCUCCCCACUUGUGCAGUCCCGGAUGUGCCGUUUGUGGUACUGGUUUUCGGCAUGGGGCCCCAGGGUUUGGUGUGUGCGUGGUUCCAGGCUGCCCCCCGUGUCCCCAUAUGCUGGUGGGCCCAUCCUUCCCCUUUAUCCUAUGGGAAGUCCUGGACUUCCUCCAUGGCUGACCUGCCGUGCUCAGCUGUGCUGGGACUCGUGGCCUGGGACUCCAGGUGUCCCAUGGGCCCUUGCUCACCUUGUCCAGGAUUCCUUGUCCACGUGCUCACGGUCAGUGGUACCACUGUGGUCCGUGCUGUGGACUGAGCUGUGGAUGUAGUGGCUGGGCUGGGGGAUGAUGCUGUGGGCUCUGUCGUUGCUGUAGUGACUGUAUAUCCUGUGGCUGUUGACAUCACCGUGACUGUAGGCACCCGAGGAGAGGUGGCAGGUGUGGUGACUGCCGUGGUGGUCGGAGGGGAUUCUGCAGGGAACAGGCCCUCUUUGUGUUCCCCAGCCCGUGUCUGAGGUCCCUCCCUUUCCUGAGACCCAGGCCCUUUCCUGCCUCAGCCUCCUGGAGGAGUACUGGCCUCUUGGCUUCCCUGCUCUGACCCUGCACCUUCCAUUGUCUGUGUGGCAGUGGUGUCCUGGUGCCAGGAGCAGUGAACACAGGGUCCUCUGGGCCCGCUGGGUGGACAGAUGUCCGGUCCCCUCAGUGCCUGGGCAGCAGGACAUGUCCUCC
Molecule: long non-coding RNA, 1320 nt
Filed under: Heterocephalus glaber (naked mole-rat)
Lineage: Eukaryota; Metazoa; Chordata; Mammalia; Rodentia; Bathyergidae
Description: lncRNA (ENSHGLG00100043993.1)
Source: RNAcentral